AUGCAGUUAGGCAGUCUCUGUCGUCAGGGGGCAGUUUCACACAUGGUGAGAUUGUGCCAAGUUACGUUGGGAGACGGUGAAGAGCAAGAUGUCACUCCGGAAUGCAUUCAGGCUGUACUUGGUCAGUAUCAGGAUGUUUUCGGAGAACCAGAAGGGCUUCCCCCAAAGCGCAGUUGUGAUCAUCACAUACCCUUGAUGCCAGGGGCACAGCCUGUGAAUAUUCGGCCGUAUAGGCAUAAGCCUGAGCAUAAGACAGAAAUAGAGCAGCAGGUGGCAGAACUAGUCAGGCAGGGGAUCAUCAGGCGAAGUGCCAGUCCAUUCGCGUCGCCGGUCAUUUUGGUAAAGAAGAAGGAUGGGACGUGGCGUCUCUGUAUUGAUUAUCGCCAACUAAAUGCGAUGACCACUGUACCCAAAUUCCCAGUCCCAGUAACUGAAGAGUUGCUCGAUGAACUCCACGGUGCAGUAUGGUUCUCCAAACUUGAUCUCCGAGCAGGUUACUAUCAGAUCAGGAUCGCGGAAGGUGAUGAGUAUAAAACUGCUUUCCAAACUCACUCGGGGCAUUUUGAAUUCCUGGUGCUUUCUAUGGGUUUAGCAGGAGGACCAUCCACCUUCAACGGUGCAAUGAUUGAUACUUUACAUCCGGUGCUCCGCAAAUUUGUGCUCCUCUUCUUUGAUGAUAUUUUAGUCUUCAGCCGCACCCUAGAGGAUCAUAAGUCUCACCUGGCACAAGUUCUUCAGCUGCUACGACGAGACCAAUGGAAGCUCAAAGCCUCCAAGUGCUGUUUUGGCCAGCAGCGUCUGUCGUAUCUUGAGCAUAUUAUCAGUUCGGAAGGAGUUGCCACGGAUCCUAGCAAGGUUGCAGCAGUGUCACAAUGGCCCACACUGUCAGAUACUAAGGAAGUAUGUCGGUUCCUUGGGCUUGCUGGUUAUUAUCGCCGCUUCGUGCGCCAUUUUGGAAUCAUAGCACGGCCUUUGUUCAACCUGCUCAAGAAAGGAGUCCCUUUUGUAUGGACCCAGGCAACGGAGGAAUCUUUCCGGCUCCUUAAGCAAGGGCUCGUCACAGCACCAGUGCUUGCCAUGCCCAACUUUUCUCAGCCGUUCAUCGUUGAGACAGAUGCUUGUGAUGUCGGUGUCGGGGCAAUUCUGCAGCAACAAGGUCAUCCUAUUGCAUAUAUGAGCAAGGCAUUGUGUCCCAAGUACCAGGGCCUGUCCACUUAUGAGAAAGAAUACCUUGCGGUGGUCAUGGCAGUGGACCAGUGGUGUCCUUAUCUCCAGCAUAAUGAGUUUGUGAUUCAAACGGAUCAGAGGAGUCUCACUCACCUUGAGGAGCAAAGAUUGACCACACCCUGGCAGCAGAAAGCUUUUACCAAGCUCCUAGGGCUCUGUUACACAAUCAGAUACAAGAAAAGUGUAGAAAAUGGAGGAGCUGAUGCCUUGUCGCGAGGCACGCACACUGACCAACUUCAUACGGUCUCAUCUUGCACCCCUAGUUGGAUGGAGGACAUCAUCAGCAGCUAUAACGCUAACCCACAUGCACCAAAGCUGCUUGAGCAACUCGCUAUCAAGGCAGACCCUAAAGGGCGAUUUUCUUUGGAACAAGGCAUUCUGCGGUUCAGAAGGCGAAUUUGGCUCGGUGGCGCGACCGCUAUGCAGCAGCAGGUUAUUGUUGCGUUCCAUGACACACCGAUCGGUGGGCAUUCUGGGUUUCCGGUCACAUGGCGUUGUGUGCGUCGACUGUUCGCCUGGCCUAAGAUGAAGACUCACAUACAACACUAUGUCAAGUGCUGCCCAACCUGUCAACAAGCGAAACCAGAUCGUGCUGCUUACCCAGGGCUGCUCGAGCCUUUACCAGUACCUAAGGAAUCCUGGGAAAUGAUCAGUAUGGAUUUUGUCGACGGUCUACCAUCUUCCGGGGGAGUGAAUUGCAUCUUGGUCAUUGUCGACAACUGA
This 1950-nucleotide ribosomal RNA is filed under the name Triticum aestivum (bread wheat). RNAcentral describes it as "partial small subunit ribosomal RNA". The record is from RNAcentral. Lineage: Eukaryota; Viridiplantae; Streptophyta; Magnoliopsida; Poales; Poaceae.